This 2962-nucleotide long non-coding RNA is filed under the name Mytilus galloprovincialis (Mediterranean mussel). The record is from RNAcentral. Lineage: Eukaryota; Metazoa; Mollusca; Bivalvia; Mytilida; Mytilidae.
CUUUAACAAAAAGAGAAAAAAAAACGUCAGCCUUCAUUAUAGCAGUAUGUUUUAAAGUGUCGUGAUAUUAAACAAAUGUAAGUUGAAAGGAAACAACACAGGGUAUGAUUAAACAUAGUAUAAGAUAGACAAGCAGUGAUUACUGGCUCCUGACGUGGGAAAGAACAUAAUGUGGUGGUAUGAAAACACCUAACACCGGACAGAAUAAGACUAAUAACAAAUUACACCCUCUCAAUUAUCAAAAGCUGUUAAAAAAAAAUGAGAAAUUUAACUUGACAUCGGACACAAUGAAUAAUUGAUUAUACUUGUCAUACACAAAAAAAUUGCUGAUAUGAGAUACAAUCAAUUAUGAAUUUUGUUAAAUACUUAUGUCACGUUAUGCCGAAACAUUAUCCUUUUGUAUGUUGUCCAUAAGGAUAUUAUAUUGUGUGAUGCAUAUGAAUUCGUAAAAAAAAAUACAAAAAACAUCUAUGCGCAAUAUUAUCAUAAAAGUUUUAAUCAAUUGACCAUUUAAUAUUGUUUUACCAUAUGUGAUGUCAACUGGAGAAACCUUUCAAAGGAGACAACAGGCUCAAUAUAAAUAAAAACACAAAUGACAUUUCAAAGAACACAAUGAGUGUAAUAUAAAGGUUCAUGUUUGUGACCCAAAUUUGUUUAAGUUAAAUCGAAUUAUGACUAUUGAUCAGCGAUACACUACUAUAAUUGCCUUUAUUUAUGUAUUUGAUGAAAACAUUAAUUGAUAAAAUGUUAUAUAUAUAGAAAUUCAUUCAAAUUUUAACAGGUUGAGUACGAAGGCAGUAGGAUGUUAUAGAUCAAUCCUUCAUAUGAAUAUUCAAAUAGUCUUAUUGAAUUAAUUUUUAUUUUGAAAAGCUAUUGUCGUUAGUUAUUUAUAAUUUUUAAGCAGUUCUACUGAACCAACUAUAUUUGAUCUUGUCUUUUCUUUCAAACACGACUGUGCACCAAGAUGGUCUAAAGCUCUCAAGCCAAUAAAGGACAAGGAACUGAGACUUUGACAGGACACUGAUGGAUUCAGUUUUAAUGAUAUACCCUAUUGUAAUUAAAGAAAUAAACAACGUAUUUAAAUGUAAUGCCGUUUGGCAAUAAUGUUGCGGUUGAUAAAUUAGAGACAAUAGUAUUUUAGUUAUAAUAAAAAAAUAUUAAAAAAAUAGAGAAUUUCAAAAAGCGGGAGACUUCAUCUACAAGGUAAGCAUCUUCCGCUAUGCCUGCAUCACCAGUCAUUGAAUCUACUAAUUCAAAUCUGUAGAGAAUAAGACAUAAUUGGUAAUUUAAAGUUAAGAUGACUUUUCUGGUAUGGAACAUUUUGAAACCACAGAAACAUUUACCAAGUGAAGAUGGCAGUGUUAAAAAAAUGCACAAUCUUAACGUUAUAAUUGCAAUAUACAAACGCCAUACAACGGACAAGAGGGUAUAUGAUGGUUUACAAAUGAAUAGUUGAAACUCUAGCGUUUAUCAUAUAUUCUAGUUUGUACGAGUUUGAUAAUACAGGUAUUUUGAUAUUUUGUUAAGUGACGAUGUCUGCUUAUGUUUGAUGACACGUAGAAUGUGACCACCCAAUAGCAGUUUUCAACAAUUAUAAUGUCAUUGAAAAAGUUUUUCUAAAAAUUAAUGAACGUACUAUCUCGAUCAACUAAUGUUUCGUAAAUAUAUGAAGUUAAAUAGGUUGUAUACAUCAAAAUCAAUUGUACUAUUACAUUAAGUUAUUAUAUAUUAACGUAUGAGGAUGCCUUCCUGCUAAGUUUUCCUUUGUAAAGGCAACCGCCUUAAGUGCUACAUGUAUAAACGAGGUUUGAUAUCCAUAUAACAUCCAUACGAUUGAUUGAUUGUUUACUGCUUUACUCAAAUAUGGAAAUUAUGUCAUGUUUAUUUAAGACGAAAUGGACAAUACAUGAUCGAAACUUAUCCGUUAAUGUGGAAAGCAGCACAUUCUUAUUCAUUUGUUAAAGCUACCUAAUGAAGUUUUGACAACACUCUGUCCAUGUUGUUCUACUUUUGUUUAAAAAGACCUUUCGGAAUCCUCGGAUCAAAGACGGAAAUUGAAAUGCCGUAUUAAAUCAUUAUCAGAACAAGCACGGAAAGUAAAAUAGGGUUUUGUCAGAUUUGUGUAAUUGAAGUGUGCUGAGAGGAAUGCAUUAUAUUCAGAUUGUUACCUUAAUAAUUUUGAUUUAUUACACAAAUUCUUUUGUUGUGUUUUAUGAGAAUAGCAGGAAGAGUUAUAUUUUUCACUUUCAAUAAAAUCGAUUAAUCAAAAUGUUUCUGUCUAUAGAGCGUUUAUUGGAUUAUGCCUUGCUGGUUGAUAUGGAUGUGAUAUUGAAAAUUAUAUAAUGAUCACUUUAUAGUCACCGUCACGUAAAAUUGGCACCAUGUUUUUUGUCAAUAUUUUCUUAAAUAUCGACCACGUUUACUAAAGAUCAUGUUUUUCAAUUAGCGGAAGAAAAAUCCUGUCCAAAUAUCCACAACUGUCCUACCUUUUGUUGUGUUUGCACUGUAUAAUCCUGACCUUCACAUAAUCCAAGAUUAUUUUGUAUGGUGGAAUCCGACAUUGUUAUUACCGGAAGUGUUGCCGGGAAAUUGUAUCAUCAAUGACAAUGAUAUUACCUGAGAGUAACGAAUGUUAUGGAAUAAGGGAUCCUCAUAGAAACCAAGAUGGCGGUUUUACAAUGUAAAUAAUCUUGAAAAAUGUGAAGGUCAGGAUUAUACAGUGCAAACACAAUAAAAGGUAGGACAGUAGUGGAUAUUUGGACAAGAUUUUUCUUCCGCUAAAUGAAAAACAUCAUCUUGAGUAAAUGCGGCUGAUAUUUAAUUUUUUUUUAACAAAAAACAUGGUGCCAAUUUUACGUAACGGCGACUAUAGUUGAUAUCUCAUUUUAUUCCUCCAUUUUAUGUGUUUUCAUUUAAUUUGACGUAAUACAGAUUAGUGUGUUAAUAAAGGGUUUGUAACCGU